AUGAAAAUAAGAUAAAAUUACCUUAAAUAAGUUGCUAAUAGUCAAAAGAUGAUAAAAGAAUGAAGAUAACUUAUUAAUGUGGCAAUUAGGAUUUGAUGUCGCAACUAUGUUAAGAAGAAUUUAGGAUUAAGUUGGAUUGAUGAAAAUGAUUAUACAUGAAGUUUAAUUACAAUAGAUAUAAACUCCUCCUCAAAGUAAAGAGUGUUGGAAGAGAGAGACAUCUCAUUCCAUACUUCUCUUCUAUAUAA
Molecule: long non-coding RNA, 248 nt
Filed under: Physcomitrium patens
Lineage: Eukaryota; Viridiplantae; Streptophyta; Bryopsida; Funariales; Funariaceae
Description: long non-coding RNA (PPAT_LNC014026)
Source: RNAcentral